UCCAACUAUUAGUCUCUCCUAUAUUGUUCAACAGAUUUCUCUUUAUUCUUCUGCAAAAAACAAUUAUUUCAAACCGAAAGGAAAAGAGAAAACGUUAAGGGCAGAACCGACCCCUUCUUCUUCUUCGUGAUGAAACUUCUGAAGCCUCAGAAAAAGGAAUCAGGUUUAUAUUAAAUCUACGAGACUUUACAUCAGGUAGGGAAAAAUAAAGAAGUUUGUGUGGGGUUUUGUAACAGAGCAGUGGCUGCGUGGCUUCCUACAGAGAACCCAGAUCAACUGAAACUUCUCUAAAUGUUCCACUUUCCAAUUUCGUAGCUUAAAUGGUUAAGAAUCCGAGCGUCUGUUAAAGAUUUCUGGUCAACAAGCACAAUUGAUAUGGAAAAUAUCACCUUUACGUCUUAGGGAAGAAGCAUAUCAUCCAGCUAGACUUUUGAUUCUCAAUCUAUUUCCAGAAACUCAAAUCCCCUGCCUGAGUUUGUAAACCAAGGCCUUCUUCUUUGGAAUCAGACAAGUGAGCGUUGUGUGGGCAAGGAAAGACCUAAUAACAACCCACCUGAUCGCAAUCAAGGAUCCAAGAUAAAUUGGAACGCAGCAUCGUAUGAUAGCCUUAAAAACGCUGAAGUAAUGGGUCCACUUGUCAUCCGUCUCCUCACUGCCCUCACGAUGGAGGUCUACUUGUCUUUAUGGAACGAAGCGGCAGCAAAUGUAUAGGAGUCUCCUACUCAGGGGAUAGAACUCAAUUUGUCAUUGUGGUAACAACUGUGAUCCAAAACAAAAUUGGAGGAGCUGCAUUAUGGAAUUGGUGCAAUGAUAAGCAAGAGUUGCCACUUUGUGGAACACCCAACGCCCACUCCAGUUUAGUUUGUUUGUAAAACUCUGAUUUUUAAGCUCAAAUGGAUCAACAAAGACAAGGUGAUUGGCCCAAAUAGUCCACACCAACUUUUUAGUGACAACUUGGGACAGUAAACACAUUCUACAAGAAUGGAAUCUCUUGUCUUAAGACAUUGAAGUAAGAUCAUCAGGUAACGAGAAAACACCGAAAGAGAUUUGAGGGUUAAUUAUGUUAUGAAUCAAAACAGUGUCCACGACCCCGCGCUUGCGCGGGGUUUUUGCCCCUAGUAAAAGAGAGUGUUGAUGAUGUAAAAAUUGUAUAUGUGGAAUUGUGGUGAGAAUAAUGGAAAACAGAUGUUAUUUAUAGAGAAAAAAUAAUCAAUUUU
This is a long non-coding RNA of Raphanus sativus (radish), 1217 nucleotides long. RefSeq lists it as uncharacterized. The record is from RefSeq and is a predicted model, not a curated record. The transcript has 6 exons. Lineage: Eukaryota; Viridiplantae; Streptophyta; Magnoliopsida; Brassicales; Brassicaceae.